RNAcentral lists this ribosomal RNA (362 nucleotides) under uncultured bacterium. RNAcentral's name for it is "bacterial SSU rRNA". It matches the Rfam family "Bacterial small subunit ribosomal RNA", at positions 532 to 896 of the family's 1533-position model. The record is from RNAcentral.
GUGCAAGCGUUAUCCGGAUUCACUGGGUUUAAAGGGAGCGCAGGCGGAUUUGUAAGUCAGUGGUGAAAGGCUUAAGCUUAACUUGGGAACUGCCAUUGAUACUAUAAGUCUUGAAUGUUGUUGAGGUUUGCGGAAUGGGUCAUGUAGCGGUGAAAUGCAUAGAUAUGACCCGGAACACCUAUUGCGAAGGCAGCAGGCUAAACAAAUAUUGACGCUGAGGCUCGAAAGCGUGGGGAUCAAACAGGAUUAGAUACCCUGGUAGUCCACGCCCUAAACUAUGAUUACUCGACAUAUGCGAUACACUGUAUGUGUCUGAGCGAAAGCAUUAAGUAAUCCACCUGGGAAGUACGACCGCAAGGUUG